UUAUGAAAUAGUACCUACACCCUGACAGCAGGGCAUCCAUGCACACAUUUGGUCAUUUUGUUGGUCAUCUCCACCAAGACAAAAGCAAGACUCAUCAUCACUGAAGAUGACCUGCUGUCAUUCUGCCUUUAUCUUAAUGGAUACAGCCAACGAAUCUGUGAAGUGAAGGAAGCCAUUCAUCUUUUCCCAUUUUCAUACUAAUUUUUAGUCUAAUAUUCUCAUGUGGGGCUCAUCUGGGUGGAACAUGGGCUAGGUGGGUUCCAGAUAGCUUCGGCUCUUUCUGGGUUUUUAUAUGUGCUGUUACCGGGACCGUGUUGGGCUUUUUAAAUGGAUAACAUCAUUGCAGACACUUAAUCUCACAUGGAUCCCAUCUAAGAUUCAGGUGUAGUGUAAAACCCAGAUGCGUCCUGAUCCCAUUACUAACAUUCAUAUGUGUAGCCAACACUAGUUAGCAGUUCCCAGUUGAACUACCUAAUGUAGGAUUGAGAAACUGUUUUCUGGAACUCUUCAGACAUCACUAAACACUUUGGAAUCUGAACAUUUGUCUAGAACUAAGCCAAAUUCUAAGAAAGCAAAAUGCUGUACCAGUGGAAGGUCACCUCCUGCUGCUGUUACCGUGAUCCACCACCAAAGAGACUGAACGCUAGAAGACAGGAAAAAUCCAAAAUAGGACACGCAAUGAAGACAAAACAUCGACCAAGAAACAAAUCCAUUCCCAUUUCACGACAGCGCAGCGACCCCCUGCCCCGGCAUCACGCUACUUCAUGCAGAAAUGGCAAAAGCGAAAACAACAGCUGUGCACUCUGUCUCUGACAGCCCUGGGCUCGAGUUCCUUUCAGAAAAGCAUAUUAGUAUUAAUAAAGUUCAACUGAGUGUUCAUUCCA
This is a long non-coding RNA of Astyanax mexicanus (Mexican tetra), 884 nucleotides long. RefSeq lists it as uncharacterized. The transcript has 2 exons. The record is from RefSeq and is a predicted model, not a curated record. Lineage: Eukaryota; Metazoa; Chordata; Actinopteri; Characiformes; Acestrorhamphidae.